Long non-coding RNA from Manis pentadactyla (Chinese pangolin), 470 nucleotides. RefSeq lists it as uncharacterized. The record is from RefSeq and is a predicted model, not a curated record. The transcript has 4 exons. Lineage: Eukaryota; Metazoa; Chordata; Mammalia; Pholidota; Manidae.
CCCUUUUGUACUUGUGCCAUUGCCCUGCAGCAGCCAGGGAGGAGCCCCAGGAGAAGGCCUAAGCUGCCUCAGCAAGCCCGGCAUAGGCAAGUCCCUCAGCCGACCUGCAGGCUCUUGAGUACUUCCAUGCUUUACUCAUUUAUAUACACUCGGACAGUCUUCCAGUUGCACACUUAGCUUUGCAGAGUAGAGAUGCCAGCUCAACCAAACCUGGAACCAGGAUGUGUUUCCAAAUCAUACAGGUACUGUAAUGAGAAGCUUAUCUUCCUGGAAUGGAAUAUAAGCUGGAUUGGAAUAUCCGGUAUGGCUUUCAGAUUCAAACCUCUUCCUCAGGGUCUUCCUACUGGAUGGUGCUGCUGAAGGUGUUUGCAUCCUACAAGGCUGGCCAAGAGCUGCACAUCUAGGCACUGCAGCAGCUCACCAGAGAGGUAGAAAACCACCAGGCCCUCAUGACCUAAGGAAUAGGCCCA